GGGCAGAGCUGAAUGCAAGAUGGUACUCCUCAGGACCAACCUAGAGAGCUCUCUCACCUCCCUCUCCCACCUCCCCUCUCCCGUCGCAUCCACACUCAGUUGAGCUCGGCUCAUGCGGAAACUAUUCAUUUGGAGAAAUGCGCCGGGAAGGGUAUUAGCACCCUCGUCUCCCCGUGGAGCUCGGGAAGGUAAAGUGAGACCGAGAGAAAGAGAUGGGGAGAGGGAGAGACAGACAGACAGACAGACAGACAGACAGACAGACAGACAGACAGAGACAGACAGACAGACUUGGGAGAGGCAGGGCGAGGCGGCAGCCAUUAGAGAAGUAGAGCUCCACUGUCUCUGCAGAGGAGAAUUGAAGCACGGAAGCUGGGGAAAGAUGGCGAUGCCUCCCAUCCGCCGACUAAUCCAAAUAUUUACUUUGGAUUUCACAUGCAAGUCGCCCAUUGGACGGAGAUGAGGUCAGGAGGUUAGUCGUUGAGCCAAGGCAUCAUUUAACUGUAGGGCCAUGGCAAUGCAGACGUGCCACUCUUAACGUUGCAUGAACAGGGCCUGGGGGGCCCCCCUCCCAGAGUGGGCCCCACCUGUGUCUGCCCUGCUGGUACAGGUAACCACAAGCCGCCUCAUGGCCCCCAGCACAUUUGCUGUAUCAUCCAUUAAGGUGGCAGAUCUUCAUAUGUUUUUCCUCUGAAGCCUCAGCUCAUAAACUGACUAAGAGGACCUCUGCCUGUUUGUCACACCUCUGUUCUUCUUUGGUCUCCAUGGUCACGGAACGAUAGAGGUCUCCCACAGGUGCCGAGUCAGCUUUUGGGUUCUUUUUGGAUGGAGAGUGUUCCCCCUGAGAAUUCCAAGUCUUUUUUUUGUAAUGCAUUUGAUGUCCACUGUGCCUAAAUUGUCCUUCCCGUGGUUACAGCUUUAGUUUGGGUUUUAUCUGUUUACCUCUUUGUUUAUCUGUUUACCUCUGUUUAUCUGUUUGUAGCUACAGUUUCGGCUCUUUCAUAUGUCCUUAUGUUUGGACACCUGCAUUUGUCAUUUUGUCAUUUUCAAUCAUUAUUCUGGUCUUUUUUUGUUGUUGUCGUCUGUCAUUUGUGGUUGAUUUAUUUCUUUCAUGUUGGACAAAAUGAGUCCUUGUGUAAAGACGAGUAUCAUUAUAUCCUUAAUUAAAGCCAGUUCACUGUACCUUAAUAAGUGACUUGUGGUUUUACCAACCCCUUUAUCAACUUUAUCUGAAUAAAAAUAGCUGGUUUCCCG
This is a long non-coding RNA of Clupea harengus (Atlantic herring), 1251 nucleotides long. NCBI's taxonomy places the organism in Eukaryota, Metazoa, Chordata, Actinopteri, Clupeiformes, Clupeidae. The record is from Ensembl.